CAGUGUGAUUUCGCUAUCUUCUUCAUGGACCACUAUAUACAUUAAUGUUUUUUAUCUUCUAGGUGUGGGAGUAUUUCCCUCACAGGAUCCUGCUCAGCCCAGAAUGCCUCCUUGGAUUUACAAUGAGAGUUUGGUUCCAGAUGCCUAUAAGAAAAUCUUAGAAACCACAAUGACUCCAACUGGAAUAGAUACUGCCAAACUGUAUCCCAUUCUGAUGUCAUCUGGGCUUCCCAGGGAAACUCUUGGACAGAUAUGGGCCUUAGCUAAUCGAACUACACCUGGCAAACUUACAAAGGAAGAACUUUAUACCGUUCUAGCCAUGAUAGCGGUAACACAGAGGGGCGUUCCUGCAAUGAGUCCUGAUGCUUUAAACCAGUUCCCAGCAGCUCCUAUUCCAUCUUUAAGUGGCUUUUCUAUGACUCUGCCUACACCGGUGAGUCAGCCAACUGUGAUACCUUCAGGCCCUGCGGGCUCCAUGCCUCUCAGCCUUGGACAGCCAGUCAUGGGCAUUAACCUUGUUGGACCAGUGGGUGGAGCUGCAGCCCAGGCUUCUAGUGGUUUCAUACCAACCUACCCUGCGAAUCAGGUAGUAAAGCCAGAAGAAGACGACUUCCAGGAUUUUCAAGAUGCUUCUAAGUCAGAAUCCCUUGAUGAUUCAUUCAGUGAUUUCCAAGAUUUGCCUGCUUCUUCAAAAACAAGUAACUCCCAGCAUGGAAACAGUGCCCCUUCUUUGUUGAUGCCACUUCCUGGAACUAAAGCAUUGCCUUCAAUGGACAAAUAUGCUGUGUUUAAAGGAAUUGCAGCUGACAAGUCCUCUGAAAAUACUGUUCCACCUGGAGAUCCUGGUGAUAAAUAUAGUGCUUUCAGAGAACUCGAACAGACAGCAGAGAAUAAACCUUUAGGAGAAAGUUUUGCAGAAUUCAGAUCUGCAGGAACUGAUGAUGGUUUCACUGAUUUUAAAACAGCCGAUAGUGUAUCACCACUAGAGCCACCGACAAAAGACAAAACUUUUCCACCAUCCUUCCCCUCAGGAACUAUACAACAGAAACAACAAGCACAAGUGAAAAACCCUCUGAACUUAGCAGACCUAGAUAUGUUUUCCUCAGUUAAUUGCAGCAGCGAGAAACCAUUGUCUUUUUCAGCUGCAUUUAGCACAUCAAAAUCAGUUUCUACACCACAGUCAACAGGUUCUGCUGCUACUACGACAGCACUGGCAUCAACAAAAACUUCUAGUUUGGCUGAUGAUUUUGGAGAAUUCAGCCUUUUUGGGGAAUAUGCUGGUCUAGCACCUGCUGGGGAGCAGGAUGACUUUGCAGAUUUUAUGGCUUUCAGUAAUAGCUCUAUUUCAUCUGAGCAAAAGCCAGAUGACAAAUAUGAUGCCCUUAAAGAGGAAGCCAGUCCUGUUCCUCUAACCAGCAACAUGGGCAGCACAGUGAAGGGUGGACAAAACUCGACUGCUGCGUCUACCAAGUACGAUGUCUUCAGACAACUUUCUCUGGAAGGGUCUGGACUAGGUGUUGAAGACCUAAAAGAUAACACUCCUUCAGGAAAAAGUGAUGAUGAUUUUGCUGACUUCCACUCCAGUAAAUUUUCAUCCAUAAACUCGGACAAAUCCCUGGGAGAGAAAGCAGUGGCUUUCAGACACACCAAAGAAGACUCUGCAUCAGUGAAGUCCUUGGAUCUCCCUUCCAUUGGUGGCAGCAGUGUUGGCAAGGAGGACUCUGAAGAUGCACUCUCUGUUCAGUUUGACAUGAAAUUGGCUGAUGUGGGAGGAGAUCUUAAGCAUGUCAUGUCUGAUAGCUCUUUGGAUUUACCAACAGUUAGUGGCCAGCAUCCUCCUGCUGCAGGAAGUGGAUCCCCCUCAGCCACCUCAAUUCUUCAAAAGAAAGAGACUUCAUUUGGCAGCUCUGAAAAUAUCACCAUGACAUCUCUCUCCAAAGUAACGACCUUUGCAAGUGAAGAUGCUCUUCCAGAGACUACCUUCCCAGCUUUUGCCAGUUUUAAAGACACGAUUCCUCAGACUGGUGAGCAAAAGGAAUAUGAAAACAGAGACUAUAAAGAUUUCACAAGACAGGACCUGCCUACGGCUGAACGGAGCCAGGAGGCCACGUGUCCCAGCCCAGCGUCCAGUGGCGCCUCUCAAGAAACCCCCAACGAAUGUUCAGAUGACUUUGGAGAGUUUCAAAGUGAAAAGCCCAAAAUCAGCAAAUUUGACUUCUUAGUAGCCACUUCACAAAGCAAAAUGAAAUCCAGUGAAGAAAUGAUCAAAAGUGAGCUGGCAACCUUUGACCUUUCUGUUCAAGGUGAGUAGCUUCCAAGGUAGAUUUUACUAUUGUGGUUUUUUUCCACUGAGAUGUUAGAUGUUCUUAAGAAUAAAAUGUUGCUCCCUGGUUUAGCAGGAAAUAGAUUUUUCUAAUCUUUGAAAUCAGGGUCAAUUACAGAUAGCUAUAAUAAAGAUUUCUCUGAGACUGGAGUCAAAAUCAGCAUCCCUCAGAUAACUGCUUUAUGGGCUAAAAACAAGCACAGCAUGCAGGUAUUGCUCAUUAGCUCAUUUGGUUAGAGGUGUGCUGUGUUAAAAGAGCCAGAUAAAUGGAUUGGAGCCACUUGUAGGCACAUUAGCUCCGCUUAUGUUCCCUGGGCACAGAUAAUGUCUUUUAAUCCAAAGGUUGCAGUGUAGGGGCCGGGGAUCUGCAUCCAGCCUGCAUAUCACAUUGACCCACACAAAAGAUUUUUAAGUACGAAGUAAUUGCCAGUAUUUAAAAGACAUGAGAUUUCCCAAUCUGGAUUUCCAACUUUUCUUGAGAAGUCAUAAUAUCUGGCACUAGUAGGUCUGCACUCCCAUAUGUUGACAAGCAGCUGGAGCCGAAGAGCACCGCUCCCUGUAGGUGGGUCAUUCUUUCUCUCCUGCCAUAAUCCCCACCGCUUCCUGUCUCAGCGGACCUACUUAAGUUAUUCACUUUAUUUGCCUGGUCUCUGAAGGCAUUUGAGUUUGCCUCUUCUGCUUUAAUCUCAUCCUGACAGGAGGGGUCGUUGAUUUCAGCUGGAUUGAGAGUCUGUGAAGGAACUCGGUUACAAAUCCGUAACAAAUGACUGGAAAAGCCACACAACUCUUACAUACUGAUAUUUAGAAAGGUGCUUUUGUUCUCCACUCCAUUGAUUCUGCACUGAGCAUUAUGGAAGACUUGUGAUAGAUCAGAGAAGAGUCAUGUUGAAAACGAAACGCAGGGAAACCAGGCAAGAGAGAACAGUAGAAAGGAUUUAACAUGUAGCUUCCCAGAAAGAAUGAAUGAGGAAUGUGUUUGUGAAUGCUUCAUGACAUAAGCAUCUGAAGAAGAGGGUCGUGGGCUGGGUGCGGUGGCUCACACCUGUAAUCUCAACACUUUGGGAGGUGGAGGCAGGCAGAUAACUUGAGGUCAGGAGUUCAAGACCAGCCUGGCCAACACAGUGAAACCGUGUAUCUACUAAAAAUACAAAAAUUAGCCAGGCAUGAUGGUGCGCACCUGUAGUCCCAGCUACUCAGGAGGCUGAGGCAGGAGAAUUGCUUGAACCCAGGAGGCGGAGGUUGCACUGAGCCGAAAUCACACCACCGUACUCCAGUCUGAGCGACAGAGCAAGACUCUGUCUCAAAAAAAAAAAAAAAAAAAAGAAGA
Molecule: small RNA, 3650 nt
Filed under: Pongo abelii (Sumatran orangutan)
Lineage: Eukaryota; Metazoa; Chordata; Mammalia; Primates; Hominidae
Description: retained intron
Source: RNAcentral